GAUGAACGCUGGCGGCGUGCCUAAUACAUGCAAGUCGAGCGAACGGACGAGAAGCUUGCUUCUCUGAUGUUAGCGGCGGACGGGUGAGUAACACGUGGAUAACCUACCUAUAAGACUGGGAUAACUUCGGGAAACCGGAGCUAAUACCGGAUAAUAUUUUGAACCGCAUGGUUCAAAAGUGAAAGACGGUCUUGCUGUCACUUAUAGAUGGAUCCGCGCUGCAUUAGCUAGUUGGUAAGGUAACGGCUUACCAAGGCAACGAUGCAUAGCCGACCGGAGAGGGGGAUCGGCCACCCUGGAACUGAGACACGGUCCAGACUCCUACGAGAGGCAGCAGUAGGGAAUCUUCCGCAAAGGGCGAAAGCCUGACGGAGCAACGCCGCGUGAGUGAUGAAGGUCUUCGGAUCGUAAAACUCUGUUAUUAGGGAAGAACAUAUGUGUAAGUAACUGUGCACAUCUUGACGGUACCUAAUCAGAAAGCCACGGCUAACUACGUG
Molecule: ribosomal RNA, 497 nt
Filed under: uncultured bacterium
Lineage: Bacteria
Description: partial 16S ribosomal RNA
Rfam family: Bacterial small subunit ribosomal RNA
Source: RNAcentral